CCUACGGGGUGCAGCAGUCGGGAAUAUUGCGCAAUGGAGGAAACUCUGACGCAGUGACGCCGCGUGCAGGAAGAAGGUUUUCGGAUUGUAAACUGCUUUAGACAGGGAAGAAAAAAGACAGUACCUGUAGAAUAAGCUCCGGCUAACUACGUGCCAGCAGCCGCGGUAAUACGUAGGGAGCAAGCGUUAUCCGGAUUUAUUGGGUGUAAAGGGUGCGUAGGCGGUCCGGAAAGUCAGCGGUAAAAGCCCGGGGCUCAACCCCGGCGAGCCGUUGAAACUGUCGGACUAGAGACGGCGAGAAGUACGCGGAAGGCGCGGUGUAGCGGUGAAAUGCAUAGAUAUCGCGCAGAACUCCGAUUGCGAAGGCAGCGUACCGGCGCCGGACUGACGCUGAGGCACGAAAGCGUGGGUAUCGAACAGGAUUAGAUACCCGUGUAGUC
This 440-nucleotide ribosomal RNA is filed under the name uncultured bacterium. Its description in RNAcentral is "partial 16S ribosomal RNA". It matches the Rfam family "Bacterial small subunit ribosomal RNA", at positions 338 to 795 of the family's 1533-position model. The record is from RNAcentral.